RNAcentral lists this ribosomal RNA (468 nucleotides) under uncultured bacterium. RNAcentral's name for it is "partial 16S ribosomal RNA". It matches the Rfam family "Bacterial small subunit ribosomal RNA", at positions 28 to 507 of the family's 1533-position model. The record is from RNAcentral.
GACGAACGCUGGCGGCGUGCUUAACACAUGCAAGUCGAACGGAAAGGCCCUGCUUUUGUGGGGUGCUCGAGUGGCGAACGGGUGAGUAACACGGGAGUAACCUGCCCUUGACUUUGGGAUAACUUCAGGAAACUGGGGCUAAUACCGGAUAGGAGCUCCUGCUGCAUGGGGGGGGUUGGAAAGUUUCGGCGGUUGGGGAUGGACUCGUGGGUUAUCAGCUUGUUGGUGGGGUAGUGGCUUACCAAGGCUUCGGCGGGUAGCCGGCCUGAGAGGGUGACCGGCGACCUUGGGACUGAGGUACGGCCCAGACUGCUACGGGAGGCAGCAGUGGGGAAUCUUGCACAAUGGGCGGAAGCCUGAUGCAGAAAGUCCGCGUGCGGGAUGACGGCUUUCGGGUUGUAAACCGCUUUCGCCUGUGACGAAGCGUGAGUGACGGUAAUGGGUAAAGAAGCACCGGCUAACUACGUG